This 757-nucleotide long non-coding RNA is filed under the name Marmota monax (woodchuck). The record is from RNAcentral. Lineage: Eukaryota; Metazoa; Chordata; Mammalia; Rodentia; Sciuridae.
GAAACUUAUAGACACCAUUAUUUGUAUAUUAACUACUAAUCCAAUGGGAAUUAUAUCUUUGAUGGUAAAGUUCUUAAGUAAAAAAGUUUUUCUUUAGUUACCCUCAUUCUUUAUGGAAUAAAGUCCUUACAUCUUAGCCUAACAUUCAGGACCUGCUUUUAUUUGCCUGCAACUUAUUUUUCCAGUUGCUCUCCUACUAUUAUUCUUAUUGAGGUCUGCAUUCCAGCCAAACUAAACUAUUCAUUGUUCUUUUUCUCAUUUUCAGAUUUCUUUCUCUUGGUCUUUUCUUUGCUUAGGCUGCCACCAUCUUAAUUCUUUUUUAAAAAAAUAUUUACUUUUUAGUUUUAGGUGGACACAAUAUCUUUAUUUUACAUUUACCUGGUGCUGGGGAUUGAAUUUCAGUGCCUCAUGCAUGCUAGGUGAGUGCUCUACCACUGAGCCACAACCCCAACCCCACUAUCUUAGUUCUUACAUGGUCUGAAAUCUCCACCUAAAAUCAUUAUUAUUUCCAGGCUGUCUUCUCUGAUAUACUUCCUUCCAAUAACAUUUAAUGGUCCCUUAACACUUCCUAUGUUAGGCAUGUUUAAACAUUUUCUAGUGUUAAGACUAAUAUACUUGUUUUCUGCUAGAUAUAUUACCAUUCUUCUCUGUAAAACUUACAGUAUCUAAUAUGGUUACUUACAUGUAGUAAAUACUGAUCAAUAACUGAUCAAAUAAUGAGAUAAAUAUUGAAUUCUUAAAUUUCAAUAAGGUAUUA